This 3470-nucleotide long non-coding RNA is filed under the name Homo sapiens (human). Its description in RNAcentral is "HSALNT0261444". Lineage: Eukaryota; Metazoa; Chordata; Mammalia; Primates; Hominidae. The record is from RNAcentral.
CGACUUCGUGUGCUCCACGCGAGGGCCGCCUGACGCCAGAGUUUCUCCCGCAUCUGCCAUCAGAGGACCGUCGCCCUCAGGAGCCCGAGCUCCCGCGGCUUCUCCGAAAUUGGAGUUCCAGAAGCCAUCCUUGGAUAACAUCUCUAUAAUCUCCUGGGAGAAUCCUUCUUCGAAGAAAUCCUCCAUCAGAGGAGAGUUCUUGGUCUCAGUCACAUCUGAAAGAGCAAGUGCAAAUGUCUCCUGUUCACUAAGGCUCCCAGGACAAGGGGAUGGAAGCCAGCGAGAAGCAGAGUGAAGUCCUGAAGCUGAGCGUUGUAAUGUCUCGGUAGACCUGUGGGAAAGCUGGCUGCAGCCUCAGGAUGGAGGUCUGGAAGACAGAAGGACAUGGAGGACCAUCCAGACACUCAGUGAGAACCUCCUGGCUCUCCUGACUUUUCUAUGCUUUAUCCUGCACGUGGCUCCUGUGUGUGGACGAGGUGCUGCACUGGGCGACUCUGGGGAUGCCUGUCCUGUAGGGUUCCCAGUCCAGUGAUGGAGAGGGAGCCAAACAAUCACAAUCCAGGGUGAUCAAAGCUGUGACAGCUGGGGCUGGGGAUACAAAGGACUUGUGACAGCUCUUUAAUGGGCAGGAUCUGCCAGGUGGAGAGGCACGUACUUCCUUAGCCAUUCAUGAUUUAUUCACUGACCCAUGGGCCACACAUUGCCUGAGGCCUCCAUGGGCCAGGGACAGAAAAUGUCAGGGUCCCAGAGCCCAAGCAGUCCUGAGCCAUACCCUCCACAAGCUUCCCCAAGGAAGGGAACAGAGUCACCAUCCAGGAGGGAUACAGGCCACAGCGGAGAAAACGCCACUGCUGUCUUUGAAGACUGAGAAGCCAUGAGUCAAGCAAUACAGGUGACCUCCAGAAGCUGGCAACGGGCCAGGAAGGACUAUCUACGUGCUGGAGCCUCCAGAAGGAACAUGGUGGCCCUGCCAACACCUCGCCUCCAGCCCAGCCACAUGCAUUUGGAACUCCUGGCCUCCAGGACUGUAACAUAAUAAAAGUGUGCUGGUGGAAGCCACUGUGUUUGUGGUAUGUGUAACAGCAGCAAUAGGAAACGGAUACACUACUCAUACAUUCACACAAAUGGGUGAAGGGGCAGUCGAGGUAAACACACUUCUUACUGUGGGCUGUAGUUUAAAAAUUCAAAAAGACACUGAGGUAGGACCUCCCACGAGAUGCUUCUUAGCACACACUGGCCAGUCUGGAGAAAGUCUGCCCCAAUGUGAUGAGAUUCUAUCAAAUGAUAGUUUCCACCGUGUGUUAUCUUUUACUUCUUUCAUCUUUUGGAGUAAAUUAUUUUUCUGGUUCUUCAAAAAGAAAGAACUGAGGCAACAGAGAGGGAAAAUGAGUUAAUCAGGUGACACUGAUGGGGAGCUGGGGUGAUAUGGCCUUGGAGCUGCACAGACCUUAGCUGGAGUCUGGGCCCUGCUGCUGUCUCACUGUGUGACACUGGUGUGCAGAAGAGGGCGACACAGCAGGCUGGCUGCUCUCCUGGGAAAAGCCUGCUGGCAAGGCUGGAUUUCAGGGGGGUACCCCGUGUCUCCAGAACUGAAGAGACACGCUCCCUGGACCUAAACUGUGCAAACACGGUGGCUUACACCUGCUUUCCUUCUGGGGGGCUGGAAUUUUGGAAUGUGCCAGGCAGAGGAGCCCACAUGACCAGCCCCCAGUAAAAACCCUGGCACUGAGUCUCUGAUGAGCUUCCCUGGUGGACAGCAUUUCACACGCGAUAUCACAUUCUACAGUAUUGCUGGGGGAAUUAAGCAUGUCCCAUGUGACUCCCCUGAGAGAAUUCUGGAAGCUUGUGCCUGGCUUCCUUGGACUUUGCCCCAUGUACCUCCUCCCUUUGCUGACUGUGCUCUGAAUCUUUUCACUGUAGUAAGUCAUAGCCAUGAGUCUGACUACAGGAUGAGUCCUGGGAAUCCUAGCCAAUCACUGAAUCUGUGGGUGCUCCUGGGGACACUGACACAGCUGGGAAGGUGACUGCCACUCUUUUAACCUCAGUUUCAGACCAAUCGGCAAAAGAGGGACAACCCAGCUUCUUCAUGGGGUGACUGGAGGAUUGAACAAGCAAGUCCUAAGAGCUGCUACUCAAUCAUUCAUUAGUUUAGAGCUGUCUGCUGGGCCCUAGAGCAGGUACUGUUCGUUCCAAACACUGGGGACACGCCCUGUCCUCACACAGCUCCCGCUCUGAAUGAUACAAUGGUAGUUAGAACGUGAGGGAGCGACAGACAAGAUGAGUAGGAGAGGAGGUAUGGAGUUCUAACAGGGUCCCAGGUUAAACUUUAAAAAUGUAAGCCCUGAGAGCCGCUUAGGCAGAGGGGAGGGCAACUGGAAGACUUUGAAGUAUCAGCUUGAAGAAUGACUGACUACAAGUAGGAAAGUGGUGAAGACAAGGCUGGGGAGGCAGAUAGGGGCCAGAGCAGGGUUUCCCAGGCUUAGCACUACUGACACUGGCGUGGGCCAAUCCUUGGUUGUGGGGCUGUGCUGUGCACUGUAGGAUGUGUGGCAGCCUCCCUUGGUUCCACCAGCUAGAUGCUAGCGGCACGCUGCGCUGGCCCAAGGAGUAACAAUCAAAAAUGUCUCCACACAUUGCCAAUGUCUCCUCGGCCAGCUGAGAACUGCUGGGCUAGGUCAUGCUGAUUCUGAGGAGCCCAGGAGCCAGGACUUCACCCUGUGGGUGGUAGAGAGCAUGGGUGAUCACCAAGCAGGGCAGUGAGUAGGCCCCUGGGGACAGGCAACACUCACCCAGCAGGAAGAGGUCCUGGCAAUUGUCCAACGCUGUGUCCCAGAACGUGUCCCCCUGUUCCAGCCCGAGCUGCUCCCAGUCUCCCAAGGUGAAGUCCAUGCCGACAUCCUUGAGGGUCACAAAUUCCUGAAACACAGUACACUAUUGGUCACUCAGAGGCUGGGGUCAGGGAGGAGCCCAACAGCUCACUCAGGGCACUCCCAGCCCUCAAUCUGCCAGGGCUUUGGCAAAAACCAUCCCAUCCUCAGCCUCACAAGAAUCUUGAGAUGUAAGAGACUGGAAACCCCUGUAUUUUGUAGGCAAAGAAAAGGACCUUGACUUUGACCAGGGGACAGGAUGUCAACCGAAGUUAACACAGGUGGGACUGAACCCAGGUCUGCCUGAUCCUAAAAAUCUAUUUUACGCUUUUGCUUUAAGUGUUCAUUCAAGACUUAUUUUGUAAACUUUCAAACAUACAUACAAGUAGAGAUGUAUAUAAUUAACACCCAUGAACUCAUCACCCAGGGGUCAUCUGAUUUCACCUGUGAAUACUUCAGUAUGAACAGUAACUCCUUAAUCACUGAACACCUAGACCACAUUCAAAAUCUGUAUACAGAUUAGUCUGACAUCUCAGUGGUGUGUCUUUAUAGCUAGCUCGUCUCAAUCAGAAUCCAGGGGGCCCAUACCCUGUAACUGAUGUG